This 922-nucleotide ribosomal RNA is filed under the name uncultured bacterium. Its description in RNAcentral is "bacterial SSU rRNA". It matches the Rfam family "Bacterial small subunit ribosomal RNA", at positions 8 to 938 of the family's 1533-position model. The record is from RNAcentral.
AGAGGUUGAUCCUGGGUCAGGAUGAACGCUAGCGGCAGGCUUAACACAUGCAAGUCGAGGGGUAGAGUAGCAAUACUUGAGACCGGCGCACGGGUGCGUAACGCGUAUGCAAUCUACCUUUUACAGAGGGAUAGCCCAGAGAAAUUUGGAUUAAUACCUCAUAGUAUAGUACCUCCGCAUGGAGGAACUAUUAAAGUCACAACGGUAAAAGAUGAGCAUGCGUCCCAUUAGCUAGUUGGUAAGGUAACGGCUUACCAAGGCUACGAUGGGUAGGGGUCCUGAGAGGGAGAUCCCCCACACUGGUACUGAGACACGGACCAGACUCCUACGGGAGGCAGCAGUGAGGAAUAUUGGUCAAUGGGCGCAAGCCUGAACCAGCCAUGCCGCGUGCAGGAUGACGGUCCUAUGGAUUGUAAACUGCUUUUAUACAGGAAGAAACACUCGGACGUGUCCGAGCUUGACGGUACUGUAGGAAUAAGGAUCGGCUAACUCCGUGCCAGCAGCCGCGGUAAUACGGAGGAUCCAAGCGUUAUCCGGAAUCAUUGGGUUUAAAGGGUCCGUAGGCGGCUUAAUAAGUCAGUGGUGAAAGCCCUACGCUUAACGUAGGAACGGCCAUUGAUACUGUUAGGCUUGAAUUAUUAGGAAGUAACUAGAAUAUGUAGUGUAGCGGUGAAAUGCUUAGAGAUUACAUGGAAUACCAAUUGCGAAGGCAGGUUACUACUAAUGGAUUGACGCUGAUGGACGAAAGCGUGGGUAGCGAACAGGAUUAGAUACCCUGGUAGUCCACGCCGUAAACGAUGGAUACUAGCUGUUGGGAGCAAUCUCAGUGGCUAAGCGAAAGUGAUAAGUAUCCCACCUGGGGAGUACGUUCGCAAGAAUGAAACUCAAAGGAAUUGACGGGGGCCCGCACAAGCGGUGGAGC